AUGGAAAACACAACAAAGCUGCAGAGAUGUUCCCAGUGGCGGCAGUGGGGCCAGCCUAGAGAAGUGGUACUUUCUGAUGCUCCAGCUCCUGCCCCCGGGGCACCUCACCAUCCCCACUUCCUCCAAAUGAUGCCUCCAUCAGAGGCAGAGGCCAAGCGGGCUGCUGGGCUCGCAUACCAGAGAUACCUGAGGUACUGUGAGGCAGCCUCACCGCGUGCUGUCUGGGGGAAGCGCCAGGCACCAUCUGCCAGCGCCAACCCACGCGGCCCCUUCGGCUUCAGGGUCAUCCCCGACCUCUCAAUCAAGUGUCCCGUGAGCCGAGUGCGAAGGAAACGAACCAGCACGGCACAACACCAUCAGCUGGCUGCGCGAGCAGAGCGGGGACGCCCAGCGACCCGCCCCGAGCUCGGCCUCGCCCGACGCCUCCGCCCUCCCUCCGGCCCCACGGCUCCGUCCGCCAGCACGCCCCGGCCCCCUCUGCGCCCUUACACGCGGACCCCGGCUCCCGGGGCACCUCCUUGCGCCCGCACUUCGCCGACAGCCGCCGCCGAAGUUGCCGGUACCGCCCGUCCGACCGCGUCCCGUCCCGCCGCGGGACCCUCGCCCCAGCCCGGAGCAGCCGCCUCGCACCGUCCGUCUGGGCGCCGCUGCCCCCUCAGGCAGCCCGGCUGCGCUCCGCCGCCUCGCGCCGCGCCUCACCUGCCCGCCCGCCGCCCCGCUUUGCCGCCCGCGGCUGGGUGCCCUCUGCCGCCGACCCCUCUGUUCGCUCCCCUGGCUCCAAACUUCUGGGCAGCGCCGGCGCGCCUCCAUAGCGGGUCAUGUGCCGCGGGGGGCAGGCGGGAGCGGCGGGGCUGCGCGGCACGGGGCGGGCCGGGAUGGACUGCCGCCCUCCCCGGCGCGGGGCCGAGCCGUCGCUCUCCUCAACCGUGCGUGAGGCUGGGGCGCGGCUGGGCGGGCCGUGAGGAGCGGGCUGUCUGCUCCGAGAGGUUCUCGGAGCCGCGAAGUUGUCGGAGUGGGCUCGCAGGACGAGUCGAAGACAACUCACUCCCACCUGUCCGCUAA
Molecule: long non-coding RNA, 1062 nt
Filed under: Numida meleagris (helmeted guineafowl)
Lineage: Eukaryota; Metazoa; Chordata; Aves; Galliformes; Numididae
Description: lncRNA (ENSNMEG00000004793.1)
Source: RNAcentral